This 563-nucleotide ribosomal RNA is filed under the name uncultured bacterium. RNAcentral describes it as "bacterial SSU rRNA". It matches the Rfam family "Bacterial small subunit ribosomal RNA", at positions 338 to 917 of the family's 1533-position model. The record is from RNAcentral.
CCUACGGGAGGCAGCAGUGGGGAAUAUUGGACAAUGGGCGAAAGCCUGAUCCAGCAAUGCCGCGUGUGUGAAGAAGGCCUGCGGGUUGUAAAGCACUUUCAGUUGGGAAGAUUAUGACGUUACCAACAGAAGAAGCACCGGCUAAAUCCGUGCCAGCAGCCGCGGUAAUACGGAUGGUGCGAGCGUUAAUCGGAAUUACUGGGCGUAAAGCGCGCGUAGGCGGCUAAGUCAGUCAGAAGUGAAAGCCCCGGGCUCAACCUGGGAAUUGCUUUCGAUACUGCUUAGCUAGAGUUUGGUAGAGGAUAGUGGAAUUCCAGGUGUAGCGGUGAAAUGCGUAGAUAUCUGGAGGAACAUCAGUGGCGAAGGCGACUGUCUGGACCAAAACUGACGCUGAGGUGCGAAAGCGUGGGUAGCAAACAGGAUUAGAUACCCUGGUAGUCCACGCCGUAAACGAUGUCAACUAGCCGUCGGGUCUAUUUACAGACUUGGUGGCGCAGCUAGCGCGAUAAGUUGACCGCCUGGGGAGUACGGCCGCAAGGUUAAAACUCAAAGGAAUUGACGGA